GUCAAACGUCACCGUCUGGCAAUUUGUCACUGUAUCCUUGCUCAGAAAUAUGAACGAUGGAGGUUCUCUGCUUGGCCCAUUCAUUUUGGUUUCAAUGCCUGGCCUCAGGUACUGCAAUAAACAUCCCCCUCGCUUCCCAGGGAGAUGUCAAAGCAAUUCUCACCGAGCUGAGCCCAGGAUAAGAAGCAAGGAAAAACAAUGUUAUAACAAGGACUUAGCAAAUGCUUGGGCUGCCUUGUGUGAGCACAGAGCUCGUUUUUUGGACUUGAACAUGAGGUUUUCUUACUCUAAGUGCAAUUCUGGGAAGAUCAGAAUUUUGUGAAGAAGAAAAAUGUUUUUAUAAUGCAUUUCUGUAUUGCACUGAUGUACAAGACCUCCAUGUGUGCGUGGUCUGGUUGUGCCAGGGGCUGUACAAACACUGAUUUCCCAGACUUUGCAACAGAAAUUUUUACAGAAGGGAAGUGCUAAUUAGCAUCCACAGUUUGGGAGCCAGUUGAUAGCCUCGAGACCUGGCAGCUGGCCAGCCACAACUUUCAUCAAUCCCAACAUUUGGGAAGUGUCCUGUGCCUGCCAAGUCUGUGGCAUAAACAGACCCAGCAGCAGCCAGGAGCCAAAUCAUGAGUGGGUUUUACUUGCAGUGCUCAGGUUGUGUUCACCUGCUUCCCUGCACCACCACCCAUGGGUUAUUCCCAGUGUCAAUCCUUUGGUGAUUGUGUGCACUCCCACUCCUGCAACCCCAAUUUCUUGUUUUUCUCCUUUGACUCAGAACUUGGCAUCAAACUGCCCAGGAAUAUUUUAUGGUAUUCCCAUCGCUCAGCAUCCAAGGCUGCUCUCAAAGGGUUUUUUUGCUCCACCUCCAGCUUGCUCCAUGCCCAGGGCAGGUUUCUCUUUGGUUUUCCUGACACUGGAGGAAUCUUCCACCUGAGAGUGACCUGUGAGCACAAUCCACAGCCCAACCUGGGUGCUGCUGGGAGCAAUGGGCUGCUGGAACUGUGUGAAUUCCCAGAGGAACACACUGGCCUGGGGGACAUUGAUGAUGUUUUUAUCCUCAGAACUCCUUCGGCAACUUCAGCUGCAGGAAGCAGGAUUCCCUCGCAUAUGGCAGGAACAGGGGAUGACCAAGCUCUGUGUGAGGCUCAGUGA
This 1143-nucleotide long non-coding RNA is filed under the name Cyanistes caeruleus (blue tit). RNAcentral's name for it is "lncRNA (ENSCCEG00000003183.1)". The record is from RNAcentral. Lineage: Eukaryota; Metazoa; Chordata; Aves; Passeriformes; Paridae.